AACGAACGCUGGCGGCAUGUCUAACACAUGCAAGUCGAACGAUGCUUUCGGGCAUAGUGGCGCACGGGUGCGUAACGCGUGGGAAUCUGCCUUUGGGUUCGGAAUAACAGUUAGAAAUUGCUGCUAAUACCGGAUGAUGUCUUCUGACCAAAGAUUUAUCGCCCAGGGAUGAGCCCGCGUAGGAUUAGCUAGUUGGUGGGGUAAUGGCCUACCAAGGCGACGAUCCUUAGCUGGUCUGAGAGGAUGAUCAGCCACACUGGGACUGAGACACGGCCCAGACUACUACGGGAGGCAGCAGUGGGGAAUAUUGGAAAAUGGGCGCAAGCCUGAUCCAGCAAUGCCGCGUGAGUGAUGAAGGCCUUAGGGUUGUAAAGCUCUUUUACCCGGGAUGAUAAUGACAGUACCGGGAGAAUAAGCUCCGGCUAACUCCGUG
RNAcentral lists this ribosomal RNA (433 nucleotides) under uncultured bacterium. Its description in RNAcentral is "partial 16S ribosomal RNA". It matches the Rfam family "Bacterial small subunit ribosomal RNA", at positions 29 to 507 of the family's 1533-position model. The record is from RNAcentral.